Ostrea edulis (European flat oyster) is the source of this 4038-nucleotide RNA transcript. RefSeq lists it as uncharacterized. The record is from RefSeq and is a predicted model, not a curated record. NCBI's taxonomy places the organism in Eukaryota, Metazoa, Mollusca, Bivalvia, Ostreida, Ostreidae. The transcript has 3 exons.
AUUCAGGCAGCAUUUCUUUAAAAAAAGGUUCCAUUAAAAGACAACAAUCAAAUAUCGAGAACCGUUGUUCUGUGCUAGGAACAUCCAACAAUCGAGAUGUACAGAAACUGCUCUCAGAAAUUUAUGGAAAUAACUUUUUUUUUAUUUCCCUUAAAUUCUAUAAAAUAUAUAUCAUAUAAACAAUAACACCAGAUGCAAUAAACAGGCAAUUCAUCCUUAAUCAAAAUAACAAAAAUGUAUGAAAUUUUGAGCUGCAGUAUGUGUUUGUUUGGUUAUCAAAAUAAUGAUAUUGUCCUUACAAAUUUGUAAUGCAGAAUCAUUAAAAUAAUAUAAAGUGAUAAAACUCUUCAAAACCAAACAUUUAUGCUACCAGUGAAGUUAUUACCAAACAUUGUUAUAUGUUAUCCAAAUUUUUCCAAUUUAAAAAUAAAAUGUCAAUUAAUGACCUCUAUGGAGUUUGUUCAGGACUCAAUUCAGUCAGUUGAUUAGAGCAAGUGAAAAAAAGAACUGAAUGACUGCUAAUUGUUGUCAUGAAUAUAAUGGAUUUUCAGUACAAUAAAAAAUCCUAUACCCUUAUGUUUUCUCUUCUUAAAAUGUAAUUUUGAAGAGGGGGGUGUUAACCUUGCAACGACAAAAUACAUAAGAUGUAAGUAGUUUCACUGAAAGAUUUUAUUUAUUUGUUAUUGAUAAACAAUCUGAUUAAAUUUCAACUUUCGGUAGCGACAUUAAAAUGACGGAGCGGAUCAAAGAUCUGAUUUUAUUCAGAUUGGUUGAUUUAAAAAUCCUAUUAAAUAUGUUAAAUAAUCAUUUUCUAGAAGAAAAAAAAAACACUGUACAAACCUAGUUUCUUGGUGACUCAUCACAAUUAUCUAGAAAAAUUCAGCAACAAAUUACUAGUAUGCGCUUCUUAUUCCAUCAAUAUAGUAAAUACACUUAUAAAACUGAAAGUUGAUCAUUCUGUAUCUUAAGAAAAAGUAAGAACUUCAUUAAAAAGGAAACUCCAUUAGACCUCUUCUCAAAUGCUGAAUAGUAUUCCAUGCACUUGCACAAUAAACCUGUAGUAAAAUAAUUUGUUUGGGAUUUUGUAAUUUGCAAGAAAAAAAGUAGUGACAUUCACAUUACUCCUUUAUCAAAAGUUGUUAAGUGCCAAAUGGAAGAGCACAAGUAGAAACUAAUUACUGGAUGGUUAUUUGCUGAUUUAUUUUAUUUGAAAUAUGCACCAUUAAUUGUUAUUGAAAAAAAUGAUUUUGCAUUUAAUUGUUGCAUUCUAUAAUCAGCGCAUCGGGUAUGUCAUGCAAACAAAUUAAUAAAAGUUCAAGAGCGUAUUGUACUUCAUUUCUUAAUAUGUACUUUCAUUUCUUAGUGUAUACACUAAGCGGUUUUUCAUGUAAUUAUAUGCGAUUACGAAAAAAUGCCCAGAUGCGGCAGCACGUCAUGAUGAGAAAUCGGCGAUAGAAAUCUCUAGAUGUUUGCGUCACAAUGAAAAAAAACGCGAGGAAAAUUGUUUCGGUACACGUGGUUAUAUUUUUUCCUCUUUGCCUUGCAUUUGAUGUAUGUAUUACAAAAAGGCACAAAUAUUAUUUCUUAUCUUUAAUUGCUUGCAAUAUUCAAAUUGUUACGACUUCAUUUGUCGAUCUAAUUUGAUUUUACCGCGAUUUCAAAGAUCAAUAACUCUGCCAAGUGAAAGCAGACAUGUUUACAUUUCCGGCCAAAAUGAAAGUGCUUGCGAAAUGUCACGAAAUGAGCCAAACCUCCACAUCGAUAUGUAUACCACCAGAAAUUGCUCUUUAUCAAGAUCAUGAAUUCUUAGAAGAUAUUGAACGUGUUGAUGAAUUAUAUUUCUUCAAACUUAUCGCUUCAAAUAUAGACGCGCGCGACAAACAGUUUUACGAUUUAUCCAGUGACAGCGAGACACAGGCAAGUAAUGAUGACAUAUUAAAUUAUGAUUAUGAUUUCGAAUAUGAAAAUAACAACAAUGAUGGAGAUGUUUAUGUACAACAUGAAUUUAAUGAUACGGACACUAAGGGAUACAUAAUCCGAUCGAAAUUUCAAAAUGACGCUUGCAGUUGUAAGGAGUUUUAUGGAAUUGCAUGUAGAACAAAAAUUGACUUUGAAUCAGCAUGUGAAUUCCGUGAUCACUGUCUUCAAUGUACUAGAGAGGAACUUGCCACUAUCAUUAAGGCAGAGUUAUUUGCACACAGACGGUAUGGUUCUGUAACACAGGCCAAUAAACACAGAGAGAAAAACAGAGAAAUACAAUUUCAAGAACAUUUCUUUAAUGGCCACAGAGUGUGUCGUACAACGUUUUGUUUUGUACAUGCUGUUGAGAGGAAGAAGCUACAUAAACUUGCCAGAUAUCUGGAUACAGAUGGAUUUUUACCAAGAAAACAUGGUAACAGUGGUAAAGCACCGCAAUGAAGCUUAACCAUGAAGGAUCGGGAGCGGAUUAAAACAUUCCUUACCAAGUAUGCUAGUCACCAUGCACUGUCAUUACCAGCUCGAUUGCCAAACUAUAAAUCAGAGAAAAUUCUUCUUCCUUCAGACACAACAACUGCUGAUAUGCAUGCUCUAUAUGAGAGACUAGCAAAAAAAAUGAGCUUCAGAAGUAUACAUCUAAGGACUUUCCAGAGAACAUCGCAUGAGUUAUGUCCAUACAUUACUAUUAUGAAACCAUGCAUUGAUCUCUGUCAACUUUGUCAAGAUUUUUCCCAUAAAUUUUCUAUGGUUUCAAACAUGAAUGACGAGGAAAAAAAGAAAUCCUGUCCCAGUACACUCAACAUGUAUCAGGGGCAAAACAACAAAGGGACUACUACAGACAACAAUGCACACAUAAAGAUACAUUAUUUUCCUUAUCAGAUGAAUCGAAACAGACAGGAAGGUAAAUGUUUUAAUAGAUUGAUGAAGCUGAGAACACUGGGAAGGGUGCAAAUUCUAUCAUUAGUAUGGCUCACCACUUCUUUCAGCACCAUGAUCAUGAAGAGAAAAUAGCCUCCAUACAUUUUGACAAUUGCAAUGAACAAAACAAAAACAAUUGUGUAUUAUGGUAUGGACUAUGGAUAGUUCUUGUUGGACUCCAUAUGAUUGUGGAAUAUUCCAUGAUGGUCGCAGGACACACCACGUUUGAUCCGGACUGGCAUUUCGGAGUCUGGAAAUUGAAGUGGCGUUCAUCCAUUGCUGAAACAAUGACUGAGAUUGCAGAAACAGUCCGUCAUUCAUCUCGGCGAGGGCAUAACAUUCCUCAGCUUGUGUCCGAUCCACAAAAACCUGUGCAAUUUAGAGAUUGGAAGUCAUACCUACAGCGCUAUCUUAGGCCUAUGAAAAAAAUUAGAGGUUAUCAUAAUUUCUAUGUGCAUGCUGAGACUCCUGGUGUUGUGGAAUGUAAGGAGCUUUGCAAUUUUGUCCCUGUAUGUGUGAAUUUCUUGAAAGAUUGGAACAUCCUUCCCUCCAUAGAUGAUCCUCUGUCCCAAGAGAUUCUAGCACCUGGUCUUGAGCCUAGGAGACGAUGGUCUCUAUUUGAGGAAAUUCGUGAACAUUGUCGGUCCCCUACUGCGAAAGACAUAUCAUGUCCCAAACCAGUGGUACCUAAAAGGAGGCGACAGUCGAUUCUUCCGCUGCCACAUCACACAUGGGUAAAAGGAAAUGUUUACUCCUUAGAUGAUUUAUGAUACAUGUAAUGUGUGAUAUAAACAGUAUAUAUUGUUAAUGAAAGUGCAUUUUAAUGCAAGGAUGUAUUUAAUUGUUGAUAGUAAUUAUUUAUUUUACAUAGUUGUCUAUUUUUGCGAUGGUUGUCUUGCAGUUGAUACUUGUACCGAUUUGUAAUUUUUUUUUUUUUUGCUGCGCUCAUUUUUACUGGAACAUGAUAUCUUGUCUACAUGUAAACAUCUUGUAGGAAUGACUAUAUAAUUUCAAUUUACAUGUAACUUGCAUGUAAUUCUUAUUCCAAUGUUCAUUGUUUAUUUGUUUUAAACAUUCAUUGCUUGUUUUUGUGCAAAUAAUGUUUCUUCUUAUCUUAUUAUUUCAAAUGAAAACUGCAGUUGU